Triticum urartu is the source of this 853-nucleotide non-coding RNA. The record is from RefSeq and is a predicted model, not a curated record. Lineage: Eukaryota; Viridiplantae; Streptophyta; Magnoliopsida; Poales; Poaceae.
CUGACCUUCUGACGAAGCCGAGAAGGAGAGGAAGAGAACUAAGAGAGAUAAUAGUGGCAUCCUCCUUGUUUAUUUCAGAAAAUGGUCUUUGAUCUAUCUGCUUUGCAGAAGUACUCAUGAAGCUGUAAUGAAUGAGUGGCAAAUAACAUCUUCUCUUUGUGUACAGGAGGAUGAUUGAUGGUGACAGUCACCAUAUCCUGCAAAGUAGGGCAGAGAAACAUGCCUACUGGACGGGGUUUGACCUCCAAUUUGGUCCAAGUGUAAGCAUUGGACUUUAUUUACACACACAGGAGUAAGCUGGUUGCCUUGGCUCUGGUAUGGUGAUGUCGUCACUGCUAAGCAUUGCAACAAUAUCAGACAUAGUGGGACGGUCUACUGCUUUUACUUGGACACACAUUAGUGCCAACCUGAGAUAUUUCAUCAUGUCUCCUGGUUCAUAUUCAUCACCAAUUGAUUGAUCAAUGAAUUCAUGCCAUGUUUCUUCUUCCCACAUCUGCCAUGCCUGAAAAUACGGUCCUUACAUAAAUUUGACGAUCUCUAUGGAUGAUACGCAGCCGUGAAUGCUCGUGAAGGACACAGAAAAGCAAACGUGUACAGACGACCGAGAGCGAGUACACUGUGGCAAUAAUCAGGAGUGCAUGGCCCUUCCGUUGCCCUGAAUAAUGCAAGAGAGAAGUGACAUGUAGCGAAUGAACGAUACUACUAAUAGCCUCUCAAGGCUCCAGCUCUUUCAUACUUUUAGAAGGGAAGUAUGUCAGAAGGUGACUCAGAUAGGUAAAUUCAUGUAUUUUUCAUGGUUGCUCCUUCCAGUAUAUGUACCCGAUUUGAUUAAGCAAACUGAACCUUUGUACUA